AGGGUUUGAUCCUGGCUCAGAACGUACGCUGGCGGCACGCCUAACACAUGCAAGUCGAACGAAGUAGCAAUACUUAGUGGCAGACGGGUGAGUAACAUGUGGGUAUCUGCCCUUUGGCCUGGAAUAACACGAGGAAACUUGUGCUAAUACCGGAUAAGUCUUUACGGAGAAAGCUUUAUGCACCAUUGGAUGAGCCCGCACUUGAUUAGUUUGUUGGUGGGGUAAUGGCCUACCAAGACUGUGAUCAAUAGCUGAUUUGAGAGGAUGAUCAGCCACAUUGGGACUGAGACACGGCCCAAACUCCUACGGGAGGCAGCAGUGGGGAAUCUUGCACAAUGGAGGAAACUCUGAUGCAGCGAUGCCGCGUGAGUGAAGAAGGCCCUUGGGUUGUAAAGCUCUUUCGUCGGGGAAGAAAAUGACUGUACCCGAAUAAGAAGGUCCGGCUAACUUCGUGCCAGCAGCCGCGGUAAUACGAAGGGACCUAGCGUAGUUCGGAAUUACUGGGCUUAAAGAGUUCGUAGGUGGUUGAAAAAGUUAGUGGUGAAAUCCCAGAGCUUAACUCUGGAACUGCCAUUAAAACUUUUCAGCUAGAGUAUGAUAGAGGAAAGCAGAAUUUCUAGUGUAGAGGUGAAAUUCGUAGAUAUUAGAAAGAAUACCAAUUGCGAAGGCAGCUUUCUGGAUCAUUACUGACACUGAGGAACGAAAGCAUGGGUAGCGAAGAGGAUUAGAUACCCUCGUAGUCCAUGCCGUAAACGAUGUGUGUUAGACGUUGGAAAUUUAUUUUCAGUGUCGCAGCGAAAGCGAUAAACACACCGCCUGGGGAGUACGACCGCAAGGUUAAAACUCAAAUGAAUUGACGGGGACCCGCACAAGUAGUGGAGCAUGUGGUUUAAUUCGAAGAUACGCGCAGAACCUUACCAACACUUGACAUGUUCGUCGCGACUCUAAGAGAUUAGAGUUUUCGGUUCGGCCGGACGAAACACAGGUGCUGCAUGGCUGUCGUCAGCUCGUGUCGUGAGAUGUUGGGUUAAGUCCCGCAACGAGCGCAACCCUCACUUUUAGUUGCCAUCAUUAAGUUGGGCACUCUGAAAGAACUGCCAGUGAUAAGCUGGAGGAAGGUGGGGAUGACGUCAAGUCCUCAUGGCCCUUACGUGUUGGGCUACACACGUGCUACAAUGGUAUCUACAACAGGAAGCAAGACUGCGAGGUCAAGCAAAUCCUUAAAAGAUACCUCAGUUCGGAUUGCACUCUGCAACUCGAGUGCAUGAAGCUGGAAUUACUAGUAAUCGUGGAUCAGCGUGCCACGGUGAAUGCGUUCCCGGGUCUUGUACACACCGCCCGUCACACCAUGGGAGUUGGUUCUACCUUAAGGCAAGGUUUCAAACCCUUGACCACGGU
Molecule: ribosomal RNA, 1398 nt
Filed under: uncultured bacterium
Lineage: Bacteria
Description: bacterial SSU rRNA
Rfam family: Bacterial small subunit ribosomal RNA
Source: RNAcentral